GAUCUAUGAUGAUAAACGUUAAGGCUUGUUUCUCAAAACAUUCGCAAUUGCCAUCUAAAGCUUUCGCCUUUCGCCGGGCUUGAGAGCUAAUGCAGCUCCCUUCCUUCGUUGGAUGUCUAAGAUC
Molecule: small nucleolar RNA, 124 nt
Organism: Brassica oleracea var. oleracea
Lineage: Eukaryota; Viridiplantae; Streptophyta; Magnoliopsida; Brassicales; Brassicaceae
Rfam family: Small nucleolar RNA SNORD14
About the family: U14 small nucleolar RNA (U14 snoRNA) is required for early cleavages of eukaryotic precursor rRNAs.
Source: Rfam